CCCACACAGUGCCUCCACGCCUCCACGCCCAUCCAGUGCCCCCACGCCUCCACGCCCAUCCAGUGCCCCCACGCCUCCACGCCCAUCCAGUGCGUAUUACAAGGUUAUCUAUUUCAAGUUUACCUGUUUCAAGCUUUUUGUGGCUGAGGUGACAGCUUGGUAAUAUUCCAGAAUCACACCCAAGCUUACCCAUGUCAAGUUUACCUGUUUCAAGCUUUUUGUGGCUGAGGUGACAGCUUGGUAACAUUCCAGAAUCACACCCAAGCUUACCCAUGUCAAGUUUACCUGUUUCAAGCUUUUUGUGGCUGAGGUGACAGCUUGGUAUCAUUUCAGGUUUAAUCUUAGGGAGCACCACUCCAAACCAACAUUCGUAGUAAAUUAGCACGUGAGAGAAUUUUAAUGAUAAUGCAUUUUCGUAUACGUUUUACCUUGGGGAGGGGCCAGGGGGGCAAGCCUCAUUAAUUAUAAAGUUGGGUGGCUUGGAUUUUCUAAGUCCAUUGUUAUUGUUUCACGAGCGCCUCUAUGCACAGACUGAGCCUCGUACCUGCCUUGCAGUGCACCAAACAAACUAUAUAGCUCCCAAGUCAGUACACGCACGGAUCAUUACAAUUUUGGACAUAAAACAGUCUCUAUGAUUUCUAUGUUAUUUUCUUGGCUAUAUUAAAGCACAUAAUGGCACAAG
Eriocheir sinensis (Chinese mitten crab) is the source of this 682-nucleotide long non-coding RNA. RefSeq lists it as uncharacterized. The record is from RefSeq and is a predicted model, not a curated record. The transcript is spliced from 3 exons. NCBI's taxonomy places the organism in Eukaryota, Metazoa, Arthropoda, Malacostraca, Decapoda, Varunidae.